RNAcentral lists this ribosomal RNA (370 nucleotides) under uncultured Actinomycetes bacterium. RNAcentral's name for it is "bacterial SSU rRNA". It matches the Rfam family "Bacterial small subunit ribosomal RNA", at positions 280 to 662 of the family's 1533-position model. Lineage: Bacteria; Bacillati; Actinomycetota; Actinomycetes. The record is from RNAcentral.
CGGGUAGCCGGCCUGAGAGGGCGACCGGCCACACUGGGACUGAGACACGGCCCAGACUCCUACGGGAGGCAGCAGUGGGGAAUAUUGGGCAAUGGACGAAAGUCUGACCCAGCGACGCCGCGUGCGGGAUGAAGGCCUUCGGGUUGUAAACCGCUUUCAGCAGGGAAGAAGCGAAAGUGACGGUACCUGCAAAAGAAGCACCGGCUAACUAUGUGCCAGCAGCCGCGGUAAUACAUAGGGUGCAAGCGUUGUCCGGAAUUAUUGGGCGUAAAGAGCUCGUAGGUCGUUAAUUACGUCGGGUGUGAAAAUCUGGGGCUCAACCCCAGACCUGCACUCGAUACGGGUUAGCUAGAGUUUGGUAGGGGAGACU